Molecule: transfer RNA, 80 nt
Filed under: Jatropha curcas
Lineage: Eukaryota; Viridiplantae; Streptophyta; Magnoliopsida; Malpighiales; Euphorbiaceae
Rfam family: tRNA
About the family: Transfer RNA (tRNA) molecules are approximately 80 nucleotides in length.
Source: Rfam by way of RNAcentral
GUGGAGAUGACCCAGUUGGUCUAAGGCGCCAGAUUAAGGUUCUGGUCCGAAAGGGCGUGGGUUCAAAUCCACUCUCCACA